This 253-nucleotide ribosomal RNA is filed under the name uncultured bacterium. RNAcentral describes it as "partial 16S ribosomal RNA". It matches the Rfam family "Bacterial small subunit ribosomal RNA", at positions 524 to 776 of the family's 1533-position model. The record is from RNAcentral.
UACGGGGGGUGCAAGCGUUGUCCGGAAUCAUUGGGCGUAAAGAGUUCGUAGGCGGCACGUAAAGUCUGGUGUUAAAGGCAGAGGCUCAACUUCUGUACGGCACUGGAUACUUGCGAGCUAGAAUGCGGUAGAGGUAAAGGGAAUUCCUGGUGUAGCGGUGAAAUGCUUAGAUAUCACACAGAACACCGAUUGCGAAGGCAUCUCACGAAUCCGCGAUUGACGCUGAUGCACGAAAGCGUGGGUAUCAAACAGG